RNAcentral lists this ribosomal RNA (253 nucleotides) under uncultured bacterium. RNAcentral's name for it is "partial 16S ribosomal RNA". It matches the Rfam family "Bacterial small subunit ribosomal RNA", at positions 524 to 776 of the family's 1533-position model. The record is from RNAcentral.
UACGUAGGGGGCAAGCGUUGUCCGGAUUCAUUGGGCGUAAAGAGCGUGUAGGCGGCCAGGUAGGUCGGUUGUGAAAACUGGAGGCUCAACCUUCAGAGGUCGACCGAAACCAUCUGGCUAGAGUCCGGGAGAGGAGAGUGGAAUUCCAGGUGUAGCGGUGAAAUGCGUAGAUAUCUGGAGGAAUACCGGUGGCGAAGGCGGCAUCCUGGACCGGCAUUGACGCUGAGGAGCGAAAGCCAGGGGAGCAAACGGG